RNAcentral lists this long non-coding RNA (4176 nucleotides) under Brassica napus (rape). RNAcentral's name for it is "long non-coding RNA (BNAP_LNC025242)". The record is from RNAcentral. Lineage: Eukaryota; Viridiplantae; Streptophyta; Magnoliopsida; Brassicales; Brassicaceae.
CCGUAAUGAAAUCCCAAUCAACCGACACGAAGCCGUACGGAUUGAACAUCAACGCAUCGUACAAAGUGGCGGUCCUCGGUGCUGCCGGAGGGAUCGGUCAGCCUCUGUCACUUCUCAUCAAAAUGUCUCCUCUCGUCUCCACCCUCCACCUCUACGAUAUCGCCAACGUCAAGGGAGUCGCCGCUGAUUUGAGCCACUGCAACACUCCCUCUCAGGUUCGUGAUUUCACCGGACCGGCUGAGCUGGCUGAUUGUUUGAAAGAUGUCAACGUCGUUGUCAUCCCUGCUGGUGUGCCGAGAAAGCCCGGUAUGACCCGUGACGAUCUCUUCAACAUCAACGCCGGUAUAGUGAAGACGCUUGUUGAGGCUGUCGCUGAUAACUGUCCUAACGCGUUCAUCCACAUCAUCAGCAACCCUGUUAACUCCACCGUCCCCAUUGCUGCUGAGGUGUUGAAGAAGAAAGGUGUCUAUGAUCCCAAGAAGCUCUUUGGUGUCACCACUUUGGAUGUUGUGAGGGCUAACACCUUUGUUUCUCAGAAAAAGAACUUGAAGCUCAUCGAUGUCGACGUUCCGGUCAUCGGUGGCCACGCUGGAAUCACUAGGAAUGUAUGGAACAAAUGGAACUAGAAUCAACAUAAUAAAAUGGAAUUGAAUAGUAAUAAUUUGAAAAAUUAAGGGAAUGAUAUAUUUAUAUGUUUUUAAUUAUAUUAAAAUUAUCUCAUUUCAUCCAUUCCUUUUAUUCUUUUUUUUCUUGUUAUCAUGAAUGAUUUUAAACGUGAUUCACAAACUUUUUCUAUUUUCUCAUAGGAAUGUAUGGAACAAAUGGAACUAGAAUCAACAUAAUAAAAUGGAAUUGAAUAGUAAUAAUUUGAAAAAUUAAGGGAAUGAUAUAUUUAUAUAUUUUUAAUUAUAUUAAAAUUAUCUCAUUUCAUCCAUUCCUUUUAUUCUUUUUUUUUCUUGUUAUCAUGAAUGAUUUAAAACGUGAUUCACAAACUUUUUCUAUUUUCUCAUAGGAAUGUGUGGGAUCAAAAAUUUUGAUUUUUUUCAGUCAACUGAUAAUUGGUUUUAGAAUACUCAUGAACAAUUCAUAAAAAAAACAUUCCAGUUACAGCCUAUAUAUUGUGAGUCCACUAAACUCAACGGAAACAGUUUUUUUAAAAAAGAAAAAUCAUUAAUUAAAAUAGAAUACAACAAUAGUACGACAAAUGAAACAAGAACAAAAAUACACCUAAGUCUAACCACAUGUUACAACAAAUUCAUGAAAAGAUAAAAAGAUAUGAAUGCCAAGAUUAAUGCAUGACACAUGAGCCCAUCCUAAAAUGAUUGUUAGAACCUCAAGAACUCAUCCGAGAAUAGCAUCAUUGGGCAGUCUCCACUAGACGAGAAAUAACAAUUGCAGCAUUUAGACAAUUCUGAACCCAUAAGCAUAGACUGAUUGAACAGUGCACCGAGGUUACCAACUCCCCAACUAGACAAGGAAUUCAGCCUAAGCGCAAGAACAUGGACUAACCUUUGCGUCAAACUGCCCAAAUCACAACAUUCACCAAUCCAUAAUCCACAUACGAAAGAAGAGAAGACCAAAGCUUGCAAUCGAGGAAAAAAUGAGUCGACAAAAAUGAUAGACACCCAUAAACAGAGAGAAUAGAGGAGAGAGGAGCCUUACCAUGGAUAGGAAAGAACACGGCUUCAAUGCAACAAGUAGGUGGAUAUAAACCAGAGGAGAAAACACACUACCUUCACACUGACACACCAACCAAAGCCUGAAGGACAUAAAGCAGACCAUACAACAUCGAACGCGACUGGAACAUAAAAACCGAAGGUUCAAAGGUGUGAAAUUCGACCACAUAAAGAAAACGAUAAGCUUCUGCUAGCACUAGGAAGAAGGGUCCCCCUGUGCACCCACUGCAAAGCUUCCACCAUCGGGAGACAACGCUAAUGGUAAACCCUCGCGACACAUUGCCUCCAAGAGCCGGAGAGAAGAAACAAAAUCCGCCGCUCGUCAGCCACUCAUCGGUUCGCCACACCGCCCCAAAGGAAAGUAGAUCGAAGAUGGAUAAGGAUCCCCACUGAGUCACACGGCGUCGUCAACAAAAACACAUAGGAGAUCUAGGAAAAGGAAAAAUUAGAUCCAGCGGCAAUUUUGGUUUUAAACACUAUUUGUGAACUGAUUUUUUAAAAUUUGCUUACAUGUCAUAACCACAUUAAUUCUCACAAAAAUAUGAUAUGGCUUCUAAAAAUUAAAAGACAAGAAGGUAAUUGUGAGAUGUACAGUUUUAUUUAUCUAAAGUUAUUUUUUUGGUAAGUUUUUAAAUAUGAUAAUGAUUCAUAUAUCAUCAUUAACAUUAAUAUAAAUAAAUUAAUAAUAUAUUUAAAAAUAUAGCAAUAUUUUCAUGUUAUAAAAUAUAGAAAAAUAUAUAUACACUAUUUUGUCAAAAUUAAUUAGAAGUAUCUUAACUUCUUUUUUGACAACAAAAAUUACUCUACUAAGAAACCAUCGGAUUGGAGAGCCAAACCGGAGGAAAUGAUUCAACAUAUAACAUAGGUGAAAGAGAACUCUUCGCACCACUUGCGAGCUUGUCCGUCAAUUUGUUUUGUUAACAUAUACAAAAUUAUGAUAUUAUAUAUUGUUAAUUUUUUGAGAUUUUAACUAAAAGAUGUUAAGCAGUGUGAAUUUAAGUUUUCAAAUUAUCAAUUUAUUCAUGUUUAAUCGCAAAGAAAUAUCAGGAAGAAAUAUCUAAAUUGGACGAUUGAUGGCUAAUUAAUAGAUUUAUUUUAUUAGUUUAAUCUAUCUUAUAUAAAGCAAAAAAUAAUAUUUACUAGUAUUUAUACAUUUAGAUAUUAAAAUAAAUAUACUAUUUAAACGUAAUAUCUUUUUUUUUAGAAAAUAAAAAUCUAAUCUUAAUAAAAUUUAUAUAAGUGUAAAUAAAUUUAAAUUUAAUAGUUAAAAUAAAUUACAAAUAAUUGGUUUAAUGGUUUUAACUUUUAAACCAAUAAAUUUAGAAAUUAAUUAUAUUUAGUAUUGAUUAAAAUUAUUAUUUUAUAACUGCGUAUGGCGCAGAAAGCCUGCUAAUCAUUUUUAUCACGAUCUUUGCAAAAAAAGGACUGAGAGAAAGAAAAGAGGGGUCAAGUGUUUACGCUGCGUUUUGUGGGGGUGGGGGUGUCGUACGGACACAACUAAAAGACGCGCUGUAGAUUUCGCAUCACCUCUUGGCGGAGCCAACGAGACACCCCAACCCAAACACUCAGAGAUCUGAUAGAAUAACACAACUCUUAAAAAACUUUUCUCUCUUAUUCUUUAAUUUAUUUAUAUUUAAAAAUUAGGUAUUUAUUCUUUCUUUCUUCCUUUCUACAUCGUCACCAACCUACCUACCUCUAAUCUCAUUUGUCUCUCUCUCACUCACUCAAACCCUCGAAAGCCUGCGAAGAAAACUCUUGAAGCGUCUCUAUCUCUCUCGUCUUGAGCUUUCCUCAAAGGUAUAGAUUCUCAAUCUCUCUCUUUUCAGUCCAUAUUACGAUUAGAUUGCAGAUUGUAUUGGAACAUAUAUCAUCUCUGUAACUGGAUUCCCCCAUUCUUUAGAUCUGAAUCGUUUCUUAGAACCGACUCUCAGUCUUAUGGUUUUACGUCUCUUGUGGAUUAGAUUAGAGUUUCUGCCUUUUUUGCUUAUUAUUGCUGGCUGUUAUCUUUGUGAAAACAGAUGGCAGCAACAUCAGCAGCUUCUUCGAUUUCAAUUGGAUCAAACCUUUCCAGAGCCACCAGCUCCUCCUCAAGGGCACAAGCUGUUAACUUUAACUACUCUCUCCCUCGUUUCACCGCUCUGAGAUCAUCCACUCUCCUCUCUGGACCAGAAUCCUCAUCUUUCGCCAAGUCUCUCCGCGGUUCCGUAAUGAAAUCCCAAUCAACCGACACGAAGCCGUACGGAUUGAACAUCAACGCAUCGUACAAAGUGGCGGUCCUCGGUGCUGCCGGAGGGAUCGGUCAGCCUCUGUCACUUCUCAUCAAAAUGUCUCCUCUCGUCUCCACCCUCCACCUCUACGAUAUCGCCAACGUCAAGGGAGUCGCCGCUGAUUUGAGCCACUGCAACACUCCCUCUCAGGUUCGUGAUUUCACCGGACCGGCUGAGCUGGCUGAUUGUUUGAAAGAUGUCAACGUCGUUGUCAUCCCUGCUGGUGUGCCGAG